CGCAGGGGCCGGGCUGACCGUUCC
This 24-nucleotide microRNA is filed under the name Gallus gallus (chicken). Its description in RNAcentral is "microRNA Ros-gga". The record is from RNAcentral. Lineage: Eukaryota; Metazoa; Chordata; Aves; Galliformes; Phasianidae.